AGUGAACGCUGGCGGUAGGCCUAACACAUGCAAGUCGAACGGCAGCACAGUAAGAGCUUGCUCUUACGGGUGGCGAGUGGCGGACGGGUGAGGAAUACAUCGGAAUCUACUUUUUCGUGGGGGAUAACGUAGGGAAACUUACGCUAAUACCGCAUACGACCUACGGGUGAAAGCAGGGGAUCUUCGGACCUUGCGCGAUUGAAUGAGCCGAUGUCGGAUUAGCUAGUUGGCGGGGUAAAGGCCCACCAAGGCGACGAUCCGUAGCUGGUCUGAGAGGAUGAGCAGCAAAACUGGAACAGAGAAAGGGCCAAGACUCCUAGGGAAGGAGGGAGUGGGAAAUAUGGGAAAAGGGGGGCAAGCCUGAUCCAGCAAAACGGGGGGGGGGAAGAAGGCAUUGGGGUUGUAAAGCCUUUUUGUGGGGAAAAAAAAGAAGCAGUUUAAUACCCCGCUGUUCGGACGGUACCAAAAAAAAAGGCACGGGAUAAUUUCGGG
This 492-nucleotide ribosomal RNA is filed under the name uncultured bacterium. Its description in RNAcentral is "partial 16S ribosomal RNA". It matches the Rfam family "Bacterial small subunit ribosomal RNA", at positions 30 to 507 of the family's 1533-position model. The record is from RNAcentral.